RNAcentral lists this non-coding RNA (29 nucleotides) under Homo sapiens (human). The record is from RNAcentral. Lineage: Eukaryota; Metazoa; Chordata; Mammalia; Primates; Hominidae.
AUUUUUUGCAAUUGCAAAUUGUGCUGCUA